UCAUUUCAAUUCUGUAUCGUGUUCUAGCUCAAUCCUCUGACUCCCCAUCUCAAAACCUAAAUCAUUUAAUCUCUCUCAUCAGCUACUCUAAAUUGCCAAAACCUAAAUAUUCUUAGCCGAAUCACACCCUAAGUACGGCCACUCUCAAUCGAAGGUCAAUCGAACCAAAGGCUUCUCUCAAUCGAAGGUUCCUCCAAUCAAAGCACAAAUAGAAAGAUGGCGAUAGAGAUCGAGAAGCAAAACGAAUUAGCGAGGGAAGUGAGUUGUUCAACAAAAUUGUGAAUAAUUUUUGACUGUGUUCUGGGUUUCAUGAACUUUUAGGGGUUUAUUAUAUAGGGCUUUUUAUUUGUGUUAAUUAAUAGAUAUAUAGUGGAAGUGUUGAUGGUAUUUUUCCUGGGUUACACUUGAAUUCUCUAUCAUUUGGGGGUACUCUCUGUUGAUUAUGUGUUGUUUGUGAUGAAGGUUCGAUUUUUCUUCAAGCUCUGAUGAUUUUUUUUAUUGAUUUUGGAUUUCUACAGGUUUUUAUGUAGGCAGGAUCAGUGAAUGUUUUCCAUUUUAAGUUAUUGAGUUGAAAUUGUUGAGUUUUAAUGAAAUUGAA
Molecule: long non-coding RNA, 598 nt
Filed under: Panax ginseng (ginseng)
Lineage: Eukaryota; Viridiplantae; Streptophyta; Magnoliopsida; Apiales; Araliaceae
Description: long non-coding RNA (PGIN_LNC017251)
Source: RNAcentral